CAAAACGUAGCUUAAACAAAGCAUCCAGCUUACAAUUGGAAGACGCCACACACUGGCCUUUUUGA
This 65-nucleotide transfer RNA is filed under the name Eremias arguta (steppe-runner). Its description in RNAcentral is "tRNA-Val". It matches the Rfam family "tRNA". From Rfam's summary of the family: Transfer RNA (tRNA) molecules are approximately 80 nucleotides in length. Their secondary structure includes four short double-helical elements and three loops (D, anti-codon, and T loops). The record is from RNAcentral. Lineage: Eukaryota; Metazoa; Chordata; Lepidosauria; Squamata; Lacertidae.